RNAcentral lists this transfer RNA (77 nucleotides) under Pseudomonadota bacterium. RNAcentral's name for it is "Proteobacteria bacterium tRNA-His". It matches the Rfam family "tRNA". From Rfam's summary of the family: Transfer RNA (tRNA) molecules are approximately 80 nucleotides in length. Their secondary structure includes four short double-helical elements and three loops (D, anti-codon, and T loops). Further hydrogen bonds mediate the characteristic L-shaped molecular structure. tRNAs have two regions of fundamental functional importance: the anti-codon, which is responsible for specific mRNA codon recognition, and the 3' end, to which the tRNAs corresponding amino acid is attached (by aminoacyl-tRNA synthetases). tRNAs cope with the degeneracy of the genetic code in two manners: having more than one tRNA (with a specific anti-codon) for a particular amino acid; and 'wobble' base-pairing, i.e. permitting non-standard base-pairing at the 3rd anti-codon position. The record is from RNAcentral. Lineage: Bacteria; Pseudomonadati; Pseudomonadota.
GUGGGUGUAGCUCAGUUGGUUAGAGCGCCAGAUUGUGGCUCUGGAGGUCGUGGGUUCAAAUCCCAUCAUUCACCCCA